Molecule: ribosomal RNA, 251 nt
Filed under: uncultured prokaryote
Description: partial 16S ribosomal RNA
Rfam family: Bacterial small subunit ribosomal RNA
Source: RNAcentral
ACAGAGGGUGCAAGCGUUAAUCGGAAUUACUGGGCGUAAAGCGCGCGUAGGCGGUUGUGUAAGUUGGAUGUGAAAUCCCCGGGCUUAACCUGGGAACUGCAUUCAAAACUGCACGGCUAGUACGGGAGAGGGGGGUAGAAUUCCAGGUGUAGCGGUGAAAUGCGUAGAUAUCGGGAGGAACAUCAGUGGCGAAAGCGACUUCCUGGACCAAUACUGACGCUCAUGUGCGAAAGCGUGGGGAGCAAACAGGA